GUGGGUUGCAAAAGAAGUAGGUAGCUUAACCUUCGGGAGGGCGCUUACCACUUUGUGAUUCAUGACUGGGGUGAAGUCGUAACAAGGUAACCGUAGGGGGAACCUGCGGUUGGAUCACCUCCUUACCUUAAAGAA
Molecule: ribosomal RNA, 135 nt
Filed under: Enterobacter cloacae
Lineage: Bacteria; Pseudomonadati; Pseudomonadota; Gammaproteobacteria; Enterobacterales; Enterobacteriaceae
Description: partial 16S ribosomal RNA
Rfam family: Bacterial small subunit ribosomal RNA
Source: RNAcentral